RNAcentral lists this ribosomal RNA (447 nucleotides) under uncultured bacterium. RNAcentral's name for it is "bacterial SSU rRNA". It matches the Rfam family "Bacterial small subunit ribosomal RNA", at positions 355 to 825 of the family's 1533-position model. The record is from RNAcentral.
UCGAGAGGCUUCGGCAAUGGGGGAAACCCUGACCCAGCAACGCCACGUGAAGGAUGAAGUAUUUCGGUAUGUAAACUUCGAAAGAAUAGGAAGAAUAAAUGACGGUACUAUUUAUAAGGUCCGGCUAACUACGUGCCAGCAGCCGCGGUAAUACGUAGGGACCAAGCGUUGUUCGGAUUUACUGGGCGUAAAGGGCGCGUAGGCGGCAUGACAAGUCACUUGUGAAAUCUCUGGGCUUAACCCAGAACGGCCAAGUGAUACUGUCGCGCUAGAGUGCAGAAGGGGCAAUCGGAAUUCUUGGUGUAGCGGUGAAAUGCGUAGAUAUCAAGAGGAACACCUGAGGUGAAGACGGGUUGCUGGGCUGACACUGACGCUGAGGCGCGAAAGCCAGGGGAGCAAACGGGAUUAGAUACCCCGGUAGUCCCUGAGCGGGCUGGCAAGGCGCAU